CAGUCGCCGCGGUAAAACGGAGGGGGCUAGCGUUGUUCGGAAUUACUGGGCGUAAAGCGUACGUAGGCGGCUUUGUAAGUUAGAGGUGAAAGCCUGGAGCUCAACUCCAGAAUUGCCUUUAAGACCGCAUCGCUUGAACGUCGGAGAGGUGAGUGGAAUUCCGAGUGUAGAGGUGAAAUUCGUAGAUAUUCGGAAGAACACCAGUGGCGAAGACGGCUCACUGGACGACUGUUGACGCUGAGGUACGAAAGCGUGGGGAGCAAACAGGAUUAGAUACCCCUGUAGUCCCUGUCUCUUAUAC
Molecule: ribosomal RNA, 301 nt
Filed under: uncultured bacterium
Lineage: Bacteria
Description: partial 16S ribosomal RNA
Rfam family: Bacterial small subunit ribosomal RNA
Source: RNAcentral